UCAAUAAGCGGAGGAAAAGAAACUAACAAGGAUUCCCCUAGUAACGGCGAGUGAAGCGGGAAGAGCUCAAAUUUGUAAUCUGGCGGUCCUAGGCCGUCCGAGUUGUAGUCUAGAGAAGUGUUAUCUGUGCCGGACCGUGUACAAGUCCCUUGGAACAGGGCGUCGUAGAGGGUGAGAAUCCCGUCUCUGACACGGACCGCCGGUGCUAUGUGAUGCGCUCUCAAAGAGUCGAGUUGUUUGGGAAUGCAGCUCAAAAUGGGUGGUAAAUUCCAUCUAAAGCUAAAUAUUGGCGAAAGACCGAUAGCGAACAAGUACCGUGAGGGAAAGAUGAAAAGCACUUUGGAAAGAGAGUUAAACAGUACGUGAAAUUGUUGAAAGGGAAACGCUUGAAGUCAGUCGCGUCCGACGAGACUCAGCCGGGUUCAGACCCGGUGCACUUCUCGACGUGACGGGCCAGCAUCGAUUUCCGUCGUCGGAGAAAGGCCAUGGGAAUGUGGCACCCUUUGGGUGUGUUAUAGCCCUCGGUCGUAUGCGACGGUGGGGAUCGAGGAUCGCAGCGUGCCUCUCUGUAAAGGGCCGGGGUUCGCCACGUUAACGCGCCUAGGAUGCUGGCGU
RNAcentral lists this ribosomal RNA (615 nucleotides) under Gallacea eburnea. RNAcentral describes it as "eukaryotic LSU rRNA". It matches the Rfam family "Eukaryotic large subunit ribosomal RNA", at positions 43 to 632 of the family's 3401-position model. Lineage: Eukaryota; Fungi; Basidiomycota; Agaricomycetes; Hysterangiales; Gallaceaceae. The record is from RNAcentral.